AGUGAACGCUGGCGGUAGGCCUAACACAUGCAAGUCGAACGGCAGCACAGGAGAGCUUGCUCUCUGGGUGGCGAGUGGCGGACGGGUGAGGAAUACAUCGGAAUCUACUCUGUCGUGGGGGAUAACGUAGGGAAACUUACGCUAAUACCGCAUACGACCUACGGGUGAAAGCAGGGGACCUUCGGGCCUUGCGCGAUUGAAUGAGCCGAUGUCGGAUUAGCUAGUUGGCGGGGUAAAGGCCCACCAAGGCGACGAUCCGUAGCUGGUCUGAGAGGAUGAUCAGCCACACUGGAACUGAGACACGGUCCAGACUCCUACGGGAGGCAGCAGUGGGGAAUAUUGGACAAUGAGCGCAAGCCUGAUCCAGCCAUACCGCGUGGGUGAAGAAGGCCUUCGGGUUGUAAAGCCCUUUUGUUGGGAAAGAAAUCCAGCUGGCUAAUACCCGGUUGGGUUGACGGUACCCAAAGGAUAAGCACCGGCUAACUUCGUGCCAGCCGCCGCCGUAA
RNAcentral lists this ribosomal RNA (506 nucleotides) under uncultured bacterium. Its description in RNAcentral is "partial 16S ribosomal RNA". It matches the Rfam family "Bacterial small subunit ribosomal RNA", at positions 29 to 523 of the family's 1533-position model. The record is from RNAcentral.